UACGUAGGCAGCAAGCGUUGUUCGGAAUUACUGGGCGUAAAGAGUGUGUAGGCGGUUCUCUAAGUUCGGUGUGAAAUCUCCCGGCUUAACUGGGAGGGUGCGCCGGAAACUGGAGGGCUCGAGUAUGGGAGAGGAAAGCGGAAUUCCUGGUGUAGCGGUGAAAUGCGUAGAUAUCAGGAGGAACACCUGUGGUGUAGACAGCUUUCUGGACCAUUACUGACGCUGAGACACGAAAGCGUGGGUAGCAAACAGG
This 253-nucleotide ribosomal RNA is filed under the name uncultured bacterium. Its description in RNAcentral is "partial 16S ribosomal RNA". It matches the Rfam family "Bacterial small subunit ribosomal RNA", at positions 524 to 776 of the family's 1533-position model. The record is from RNAcentral.